GUUUUUACCAAUUCAGAAACUCUGUCUUGUAUGUCCUUCGCCGCUUCGAAGUUUCUCGCUUUGCUACCCCUUUGCUUCUUUUGAAUUUCUUUUGCAAUCAUUUGCUAUUUUGCGAUCUUUCUCAUCUUUGUAGUCCAGGUUUCUUGGAUUGUGCAUAUCCGAUUAGCACAUGCAUGUUUGUAAAUUUACUGCAUAGAUGUAAAUAAGCUCUGGCCACAUUCGGGUUUCCGUCUAAAGCAACAAUAGUGUAGAAACGGACAAGAGAUUUGAUGCAGACGAGCCGCUUGAUAAUAUACUUAAACAACUUAGUUCUGAUAUUUCUGGAUAGUUGAGUUUGCGUUAUUGGAUUCUUUUUCCUACUAAAUGUUCCUUUUUUUUAUGUUGGAAGAACCAUACUUUUUGAGUUUUUUGUAGGUCAAUGAUAAUUUGUUCGCUAAUCUUCAUCUGUUCGAUAUGAUAAAUGAUUUGCCCAUUAUAUUCAUUUAAGAUCUCUUAAUCAUACUUGAGGCAUUUUUCAAUUAAAAGUUAGUAAUAUUUUCUAUCUUAUGUUGAUUUCUAUGAAUAUUAUCAUAUGUUUACCUGAGUUUGUUCUGUUAGCCAUUGCUUAUCUAAAACAAAAUAGAUUCGGCCAUAGGAUGCCCAUUCUCCCUCCCAAGUGAUUCUCAUCCUUACCCUGCAGCUGCAAAAAAGGUUGAUGACAUGUGUGAAAUAUAACGGUUAGAUAUUGAACUUUAGUGUAGGUGUGUUCUAAAAAAAAUUGAAAUAUUCGGAUUAAAUGUAGGCACUCUACUCAUUUCUUGGUUUCUGCUUGAAUUUUGUUUUCAGGUGCAAGUAGGAGGAUCACCAGUUUAUAAGGUUGAAAGGAAGUUAGGUAAAGGUGGUUUUGGACGAGUGUUUUUGGGUCGCUGUCUUAUUGGCGGGAAUGAAUGUGCUAAUGGCCCUUGGCUCUGGAAUAAUGUGGCCGCUUACGAAUUCUCUAGCCACUCAUUUUUCCUUCUCCUUCUUGAGAAGGCUAAUUUACUUGUCUACAAGUUUUAGCAUCUUGUGGAUGUAAUUGUUAAUGAAAUCUCAUUUUACCUGAUAAAAGAAAAUCACAUUGACUUUCUGUUAUGUCUCUAGGUGGCACUGAAGUUUGAGUAUCGAAAUAGCAAAGGCUGAUGCUAUGGCCCUCCAUAUAAGUAACGAGUUUACAACACUUUUGGAGGCAGUCAUGGAGUGCGAAUAGAGAAUUAAAAAAAAAAGUACAAGAGAUUAUUAUGUCAUAGUAUGUUUACGGAGAGAGAUUUGCAUUACUUAUUGUAAUUACGGAGGACAACAAAAUGAAUUGUGGAUAUUCAUUAUUAAGAGAGGCAUCAAUAUUAUGAGUUGUGGCUCUGAUUGUGACCUCUUUUAG
Long non-coding RNA from Lycium barbarum (goji berry), 1393 nucleotides. RefSeq lists it as uncharacterized. The transcript is spliced from 3 exons. The record is from RefSeq and is a predicted model, not a curated record. NCBI's taxonomy places the organism in Eukaryota, Viridiplantae, Streptophyta, Magnoliopsida, Solanales, Solanaceae.